AACGAACGCUGGCGGCAUGCCUAACACAUGCAAGUCGAACGAGACCUUCGGGUCUAGUGGCGCACGGGUGCGUAACGCGUGGGAACCUGCCCUUAGGUUCGGAAUAACUCCCCGGAAGGGGUGCUAAUACCGGAUAAUGUCUUCGGACCAAAGAUUUAUCGCCUUUGGAUGGGCCCGCGUUGGAUUAGCUAGUUGGUAGGGUAAAAGCCUACCAAGGCGACGAUCCAUAGCUGGUCUGAGAGGAUGAUCAGCCACACUGGGACUGAGACACGGCCCAGACUCCUACGGGAGGCAGCAGUGGGGAAUAUUGGACAAUGGGCGAAAGCCUGAUCCAGCAAUGCCGCGUGAGUGAUGAAGGCCUUAGGGUUGCAAAGCUCUUUUACCCGGGAUGAUAAUGACAGUACCGGGAGAAUAAGCUCCGGCUAACUCCGUG
Molecule: ribosomal RNA, 433 nt
Filed under: uncultured bacterium
Lineage: Bacteria
Description: partial 16S ribosomal RNA
Rfam family: Bacterial small subunit ribosomal RNA
Source: RNAcentral